UUGUCACGCCAGUGGCACAGCUGGGUAGCUAAGUCUGGAAGGGAUAAACGCUGAAGGCAUCUAAGUGUGAAGCCCCCUCCAAGAUGAGACUUCCCAUUCUUCGGAAGUAAGACCCCUCAAAGACGAUGAGGUUGAUAGGUCAGAGGUGUAAGCGCAGCGAUGUGCGAAGCUGACUGAUACUAAUAGGUCGAGGACUUAACCAG
Coprobacillus sp. is the source of this 203-nucleotide ribosomal RNA. It matches the Rfam family "Bacterial large subunit ribosomal RNA", at positions 2721 to 2925 of the family's 2925-position model. The record is from Rfam. Lineage: Bacteria; Bacillati; Bacillota; Erysipelotrichia; Erysipelotrichales; Coprobacillaceae.